This 434-nucleotide ribosomal RNA is filed under the name uncultured bacterium. RNAcentral's name for it is "partial 16S ribosomal RNA". It matches the Rfam family "Bacterial small subunit ribosomal RNA", at positions 29 to 507 of the family's 1533-position model. The record is from RNAcentral.
AGCGAACGCUGGCGGCAGGCCUAACACAUGCAAGUCGAACGAACCUUUCGGGGUUAGUGGCGGACGGGUGAGUAACACGUGGGAACGUGCCUUUAGGUUCGGAAUAACUCAGGGAAACUUGUGCUAAUACCGAAUGUGCCCUUCGGGGGAAAGAUUUAUCGCCUUUAGAGCGGCCCGCGUCUGAUUAGCUAGUUGGUUGAGGUAAUGGCUCACCAAGGCGACGAUCAGUAGCUGGUCUGAGAGGAUGAUCAGCCACAUUGGGACUGAGACACGGCCCAAACUCCUACGGGAUGCAGCAGUGGGGAAUCUUGCGCAAUGGGCGAAAGCCUGACGCAGCCAUGCCGCGUGAAUGAUGAAGGUCUUAGGAUUGUAAAAUUCUUUCACCGGUGACGAUAAUGACGGUACCCGGAGAAGAAGCCCCGGCUAACUUCGUG